This 84-nucleotide transfer RNA is filed under the name Flammulina velutipes. RNAcentral's name for it is "tRNA-Tyr". Lineage: Eukaryota; Fungi; Basidiomycota; Agaricomycetes; Agaricales; Physalacriaceae. The record is from RNAcentral.
GGGUAGGUGAUCCGAUUGGUAAUGGUGAUUCUCUGUAAAAGAAUUGGUUAAUAGCCGUAUUGUGUUCGAUUCACAAACUACUCA